CUGCCCGUUCUCAGAUCUCCAGCUGCAUACUGGGAGAACCACUGCUCUCUUCAAAGCUGUCAGACAGGGACAUUUAAGUCUGCAGAGGUUACUGCUGUCUUUUUGUUUGUCUGUGCCCUGCCCCCAGAGGUGGAGCCUACAGAGGCAGGCAGGCCUCCUUGAGCUGUGGUGGGCUCCGCCCAGUUCGAGCUUCCCAGCUGCUUUGUUUACCUAAUCAAGCCUGGGCAAUGGCGGGCGCCCCUCCCCCAGCCUCGCUGCCGCCUUGCAGUUUGAUCUCAGACUGCUGUGCUAGCAAUCAGCGAGACUCCGUGGGCAUAGGACCCUCCAAGUCAGGUGCGGGAUAUAAUCUCGUGGUGCUCCAUUUUUUAAGCCCGUCGGAAAAGCGCAGUAUUUGGGUGGGAGUGACCUGAUUUUCCAGGUGCCGUCCAUCACCCCUUUCUUUGACUCAGAAAGGGAACUCCCUGACCCCUUGCGCUUCCCAAGUGAGGCAAUGCCUCGCCCUGCUUCGGCUUGCGCACGGUGCACGCACCCACUGACUUGCGCCCACUGUCUGGCACUCCCUAGAGAGAUGAAGCCGGUACCUCAGAUGGAAAUGCAGAAAUCACCCGUCUUCUGCGUCGCUCACGCUGGUUGCUGUAGACCGGAGCUGUUCCUAUUCGGCCAUCUUGGCUCCUCCCGUGAGAUUUUUAAAAACCAGAAAUGAAGGGGAGCAGGUAGGAUGCCAGGAUGGGACUCGCAUCUGCUCUGGUUGAUGAGGCGCUGUGAGGAUGGCAGGGAAUGUUCUUCCCUCAGGAGGUGAGGAGAAGGUCUCUCACUCCCACAGCUUCUUCUGGUACUUUCUGGUAGAUUAGCCCAAGACCCCUGCUUUCGAUGAGAAAACCGAAGCACAAAGGCGCUAAGUAAAUUGCGCACCCACACAUAGCUAAGAAGCGGCAGAGCUGGACGAAACCUCUGCACUCACCACUUCCGUGGCUGUGCUUUGUUUCACGAGGUGAGACAAAUCAGCUGAGGAAGUAGAACAUAGGCCCUAAUGACUAACAAGCCUAUGAAAAGCAAGUCCCGCUUCUGAUGGGGAAGCCUUAGGGGAGAAGGACCAGUGACUGGCAGACCCUCACUUGGGACAAGAACUAAUGCUGGGGUAAGACCCACCAGAAGAUUGAGUCCUGAGCACAGACACAACCCGGUGUUUGUUCUGAGAAGCUUCUGAACUAAGGCUGAGUCAGAAAAAGCCAAUGGAGAAGGCAAGAGAUACAGAGGAAACAGGGAUAACCAGCUGGCUGUGCAGAAAGCUGAAGAAGGAGUCCAGGGUGGCGGCAAUGGGCUGGGACACAGAGGGAGGAGCAGUGUCCUUGUUUUGUUACUGUUGUAACCCAAAUCAAGGAGGCCCCUUCAGGAAGUGACAGCCUCCAACCAUGUCCAAUCCUUCUGCUUAGAAAGGGAUUCUUCUUUACGUGACCCUGGUCAUGCAACUAGUGAUGGGGUAGGGAUGUGCUGCCUGGUAGCCUUUACCGCAAGCAAAGCCAUUUACAUUUGGAUCCCUCUACAUUUUCAGCUCCACUUCUCAACCUCCCUAACCACACAAUGGCAUCCAAACCAUGCCAUUCACUUCCCCUGGAAGCCUCCAUGCCUGUGGUGGUGCUAUAGCUUCUGCCUCCACCCCUUUUCAGCUCAACAAGCUCCCCGUCACAUUGCGAGUCCUUGCCCAAACUGCAGAUCCUCUAAGAAAUCUUUCUGCCCCUUAUUUGCGCCUUCCUCUGCUCUCUUUCAGAUUUUGCAUUUGUCUCCCUUGGUAACCUAAAAAGGGAAAUUCUUUACUUUUCAUCUCAGUGUUUGUUGAGUUCAUAGUAAGCACUUGGUAAAUAUUGAAGAAGUGAACAAACAAAUAAAUGUCCUUUGAAGGAAUGCAGAUGGAGCUGGAGGCCAUUAUCCUUAGCAAACUAAUGCAGGAAGAGAAAAUCAAAUAUUGCGUGUUCUCAUUUGUAAGUGGGAGCUAAAUAAUAAGAACACAUAAACACUUAGUGGGGAGCAAUAGACACAGGGGCCUACUAGAGGGUGGAGGGUGGGAGGAGGGAGAGGAUCCAGAAAAAUAACUAAUAGACACUAGGCUUAAUACCUGGGUGACAAAACAAUCUGCACAACGAAUCCCCAUGACAAGAGUGUGCCUACAUAACAAACCUGCACAGGUACCCCUGAACUUGAAAGUUUAAAAAAAAAAUUAAAAAACCACAAAUAAAUGUCUGAAAUGCUUUAAUUAGUUCUUGUCUUCACUGGUUUGCUUUUACUGCCUGGAACUAGCAAAGGGUUAGCAGAGCUAUGAAAUGACUGUGUCACUUGCCUGUUUGUCUGGAAUCCCUUCACCACCACGUAUUAGCUGUCUGGAGAAAUCACUUAACCUUUGAACCCCAUUGUGUUUCCUCCACUGUAAAUCAGGGCAUAUAGCCCCCAUCCUGCAGCAUCUUUGUGAAGAAUCAGUGGCUAAGGAAUGCUGUGUGCUGGGUUCCAUGCCGCCAUAUUCAGUAUCAGCCAGGAAGUGGUAGAUGGUGGUGGUGGUGGUGGUGGUGAUUUAAAAAAAGAGUCAGUCUGUUGCAUUAUUUUCCUUUGCAAAAAGGUUAUUUAUUGAAAAAGUGAUUGUUGUGGGUUGAAUUGUGUCUCCCAAAAAGAUACGUUGAGUCUUAACCCUCUGUACUGUUAACAUGACCUCAUUUGGAAAUAGGGUCCUUGUAGAUGUUAUCAGAUUAGGAUGGGAUUAUACUGGAUGAGAGUGGCUCCUAAUUUAAUAGUAUUGUUAUAAGAAGAAACAAUUUUGAACACAGAGACACAGACACAGGGAGAACACCAGAUGUUGAUGGGGGCAGAAACUGAAGGGACACAUCUAAAAGCUGAGACAUGGUGAAGAAUGCCACCAAUGGCCAGAAGCCAGGAAGAGAUGAGGAAGAAUCCUGUCCUAAAAUCAUCAGAGGGAGUGUGUCCCCGAUGAUGCCUCGAUUUCAGAACUUCUAGCCUCCAGAACUAUGAGACAACGCAUUUCUCUUCUUUCAAGCCAUAUAGUUUGUGGUCUCGUGUUACGGCAGACCCAGAAACUAAUAAUUCUGUGGACUUGUGCUUCUAAAUAGAAAAUACAAACUUAUAAAUCUUUCUCAUAAAUCAUCUGAGAAGUUAGAGGCAUCUAGGAUUAAGGAGGAAAAUCCUGGUCUAUAUGUUGAGAAAAGAGGAAAAGAAGCCAAAAGACUCCAAUACAACAUGUGGAAUUUAGCAAAAUCAACAUUUGAGAUACUUUUUCAACAAUCCCGUUUCUUAACUGAGAUUUUAUUGUUGGGUUCAUAAAUUAAUUUAACAAGCAUGUUUCACCUGCAGAGAGCCGGGGUGGCCACGCUGGGAAGAGUAUGGACUUUGGAGUUGCACAGGCUUGGGUUCAAUCCAGGCUUCCCCACUUAGCAGCCAGUGGUCUCAGGCAAGUUACUUGACCUACAUGAGCCUCAGCCUCCUUCCGUGCCCAUCUCCGGGUUUGCUGUGUGGAGUCAAUAGUUGAUAUUUGUGAUAAGUGCAGCAAAGCACUGCCUGUGGGUAUGAUGCAAUCUGCUCCCAAUGUAUAUAUCCAAAGGAAACAUCUGUCCUCAACAGAAAUCAGAGCAAUCCCCAACACUUAAAGAGCAGACAUUCAUGCAGGUGGAUGAAGCAGAACCAGAGACACUUGAGCUUGACUGAAAGAAGGAGAAAGUUGCAUCAUGCUUAGAGCAGGAGUUUUCAAGAGAAGUGUGAAAAAAACACAACCCUGACAUCCACCUUGGACAGAUAUAACAGGACACGUGUUUCUCAUGUGAAGAGAUUCUUUAUUUGAUUUUCAUCACCUUUCAAUGAAAGAGUGGGUCCUGUCAGCACUACGUAAAAUAUAUAUCUUAA
This 3900-nucleotide long non-coding RNA is filed under the name Homo sapiens (human). RNAcentral's name for it is "HSALNT0068492". The record is from RNAcentral. Lineage: Eukaryota; Metazoa; Chordata; Mammalia; Primates; Hominidae.